UUUGUACGAAUACAAUACUUUUAAGAAAAAUUUAAUAAUAAAAAGAAUGUGUAUAAUUAUGUUUGAAUACAACAUAGACACUAUUUAUGAAAUGAUAUUUAUGUUAUAUUAUGAGUUUAUUACUAAUAAAAUUGACAGUUUAGUUAUUUAAAUCACUGCUUAUUUAUUUAUAAGAUUUUAUACGGUAUAUAAGAUGAAUUUUGUUAAAAUUAUCAUCGCUUGUUGGAUAAGCGAAAAGGUGUCAUGGACACUAGUUGGAAAUAUCAGGUUUAUCAGUUAUGUAAGGAAUACAAGAUAUAACAGCAACCAUGUGAGUCCUAUAUACCAAUGGACUACUCCUGUCACCCUGGCGUUUAUCAAUUGAUAAGGGGUUUAACCUUUGUGAGACGUUUUGUAAUAUCUAUACAAACUUGUCGAUGUUUAUGUUACAUGUGCCAUACCCAACACUAAGGAAG
RNAcentral lists this unclassified non-coding RNA (455 nucleotides) under Bombus terrestris (buff-tailed bumblebee). Its description in RNAcentral is "misc RNA ENSBTSG00005021598.1". Lineage: Eukaryota; Metazoa; Arthropoda; Insecta; Hymenoptera; Apidae. The record is from RNAcentral.